This 10379-nucleotide long non-coding RNA is filed under the name Malus domestica (apple). Its description in RNAcentral is "long non-coding RNA (MDOM_LNC001574)". The record is from RNAcentral. Lineage: Eukaryota; Viridiplantae; Streptophyta; Magnoliopsida; Rosales; Rosaceae.
AUAUAUAUAUAUAUAUUUGGAGUGCAAAUUAAGGAUUCUGUUUGGUUUGGUUCAAACGAUUCUCAAAAUAUAAUAUGUUGAAUACAGUAAGUGUAUAGUGAUGCCUUGGUUGUUUGAGAAGUACUGUGCGUGAAGAGUAGAGAGUACUUUGAACCCCACAACCUAAAGCUAAGCAAGUUGUGUUCUUCAGUGGCGGAUAUAUAGUGCAACAUUGUUAUACAUUGCAAUAGCUUGUCAAUAUAUUUUGUCUCCAACAAUGCUCGUAGAUGUGAUAGAUUGGUAGGUUUUGUUAUUUACCUGAUAACAAGCACCAAAACUACGCUUCCUUGAAUCCCAAACAAGAAUUUGCAAAAGCAACAUGUACACUUCACCUAAUGUGUUGCUUUUUCUUUCAGAAACAAUAUAUAACAAACUGAAAACAAUACGACCUACAGUUUGAAUUCCUAUGUUGUUGUGCUGCAACGAUCAAGUGAUGUUGCUAUUCUAGUCAACAAGAACUAAAUUAGAAUUAAUCUUUGGUGUGACCAUUAUAUUGUAUGGUAUGACAAGGGAAAAAAACUCCAUUAAGCAGCUCAUCAGUGUUUUGGUUUAAAAUUUGUUGGUACUGAAUUUCAGGUCUCAAUAAAGGUGCUUAUGAAUAGAAAUGCUAACGUUAGCUGGUUAUGAGUGUAUGUAAAUAGUUGAUAGUUAGACAUCGGCGGUGUACAGCAAAUUACCAUAAAUUCCACUCUCAUUUGAUAUAGUUUAAGUACAAUCAUGUAGGCGCACGUGGUUGAGCUAUAUAUUAACAUAUUUAUCCUCAAGAAGUAUAUGCUAAAGAAUGUAAAGUUCCACAUUAAAUCAAACACAAUAUAUAUUGAAUCAUUGAGGUCUUUUGUAUAAAACUUCACAUAUGUUGAACUGUUAGGUUGGAAACAAUAUCAAUGUUGACAGUCACUAUAACACGGACAAGUGCAACAAAGAAGAUAACUCCCUUCACCUUAACUUACUACCAAGAUAGUUGUCAAAAUCAAACAGUGAUUCUGGUACCUGAAUGAGACACCAGAACGAAUCCUCUGAGGGUUGCUGAAAUCUAAAACUUCGCAAUACAUAUCGGAUCUUAAAAUUAAUAAAUUAGACUGAAAAAGUUAUACGAUGAAUGUUCUGGAUCAAACGUUCAUUCAAAUUUAAGUCUUUUUUACCUUCGCUUGAAUGCAUGCAUGAUGCAUGCACUAUAAACUAUAAAGGUUGCUUUCUGGUAGGGGUUCUCCACGCCUGUGAGUCUGUGAAACUGUUCAUUAGCACACCUGGACCGACAGCACAGAGAGAGAGAGAGAGACAGAAGCUUUUAAGGCCUACCACACUCAACUAUACUAGCAAUCUUUAAUUAAUAGGGUUUGCAAUUGCAUACAUACAUACAUUUCAGAAUAUCGUUUCUUUGUCUUGUUUGGUCACACAAUUUAAUCACAAAUUCAAUGUGAAGCAACAAACAGACGAAAGUUGUAUGCAGGGCAUUUAAAUUUUUUUCUUCGUUUUUCAAUAAAUUAAAAGGCCCCAUUUGCGCUUCCAUAUGAGUACAGCUACAAUACUGCAUUUGCAGGACAUCAAUGGGUGGACCUAACCCUAACCAUCUGUCUAUUAUAGAAUGGUAACCCCUUUGGAUGUAUAAAUCUGACUGGCCACCAACCAAAAACUAGGAUGUGAGCACCUCCCCAUUAGGAAAUAGAGAGAUUGGACACGUAAUUAAGUUUAAUUUGGGAUUGGGUCCAUUAUUACCUUUGUGUGCAUGUCUCUCUCAUAACGAAAUGUUGAACAAAAUUGAGCUUGCACCAUAAAAUUAAGGGAACUUUAGCAAAAAGCUCAUGGUACUGUUCAUUUUAACGAAAAAUCACAUUUUUACACUAAAAAGUCAAUCCUUUUACUAUUCACUUUACCUUUUAUUUUGUCCUUAUCGUUAAAACCCAAAGUUUUCAAGCCAUUUUCAUUAGUUUUCCUUUAAUAGUAUGAGGAGUAGAACAUACAAAGUCCAUUCUUUCAUCAAUGUGAGAUUUAUUCUCAAUACGUCCCCUCAUAUGUGGCAAUCCCUUCUUUCAUCAAAGUGAAAUUCAUCCUCAACACGACCUAUCAUGUGUAGCGAAUUUUUAAGCCUAACAUGCGCAGACAAGACAAUUAGGUGAUAUGGAACACGUGUGGCUGUUGGGCUUCAACGAAAAUUGCUAACACCGAAACUCAAACCUUGGUGGGGUGACACACAAGGCUGGGACCUUACUAACCGAGUCAACCCUUGUUGGCUAUUGAAUUGAGUAUGUUAGGGUUGAAUGUUUUAUUAUUUAUAUUUCAUACCCUUUUAGAUAAAUAAAAAUAAAAAUUUUAAAAUCUUAAUUAAAUGCAUUAUUAUUAUUAUUAUUAUUAUUAUUUUACAAACGAUAGCAUUAAUGGGUUAAAUUGUUAUUAUUUUACAAAUGAUACCGUUAGUGGGUUAAAUUGUUAAUUGUUAGGAGGAGGAGAUCAGUGAAGAUCGAAUUUGCACCAUGAUGUAUAGGCAUUAUUGCAUUAUUUAGUCUAGCUAAUUAUACAUUUGAAUUUUUUAGCUUUCAUCAUUGCCACCAUUAAGACUUGAAUCCAUAAGAAACAAUUUGUCAGUCAUAACCCUAUUGUUCAUGUGCAAUAAAAUUUCUCUUGAAAAAACAAAAUAUAAAGCCCAAAAACACUCAACACAUAGACAGUUAGCAUGCAUAGUUAAUCGAAACCUUAUAAAUAGGUAAGCAAAUCCUAUCUACAUCACCUCCGAAAUUGGUAUCAAAACUUAUAAGUCCACAUUACCUACACAUUUGGUAUCAAACCAAAAUACAUUACCUACAUAUUCAGUAUCAAACACAUCCACAUCACCAAUAUAUAAGACUCCAAUCUAAUAACUUUUAAACCCAAAAAUUAAUUUGUUCACAUAAAUAACAUUAAAUUAUAAAAAUGAUGUUGACAAAAAAAAAAGGGCAAAACUGUAGAGGGUAAAAUAAGCAUGAAACAACAUGACAGAUAUGAGAACCAUAACUAUUAAUUGACCUCAUAAACUCACUUUGGUAAAUUUUUAACAUUAAAUGAUAGUCAAAAGAUGAAUGGGUUUUCCUUAAAAUAUUCUAAUGCAAUUGGGUUGAAAUCUACUUUUAAAUCAAAGGAAAACAAGGAACGUGAUUAAGCAGAGGUGUAUAAGAAGAGAAAAUGUGUAUUAUCAUUUUCCCUGGCAAAAAUAGAGAAAAUGUUUUUUUGUCAGGUUGUUAAGUUGUCAUACUGUGAAUCUAAGCCAUUAAUCUUGUUGAUUAUUGAAAAUAUUUGGUUUAGUUUGAUUGAGCCCGAAACUAAUGAAAAAUUUGGGAAGAAACAUGAAACCAAUCCUUAUACUGGGAGUGAGACAUGACCACGACUUAAGAUUCAAGUAAUAAGACUAAAGGAAUGGGAGGAAUGAUUAGUAAAGCGCAUGCUAACACGAUCGAGCCAUCCAAAAAAUGCAAGACUUAGAUUACCAGAUGCUAGACACAAUCUUCCUCUUUCUAACCUCUCCCUCUUUCUUGUUUACCUAGCUUUUUCUUAGCAGCUCUUUCUCAGCCCAUAGGAUAGGAGUGCAAAAUAACUUGAUUGCUAGAGACAUUAUGGUGUGAAUGGGUUUGUUUUAAAUUUGAAUGAUAUGGUGGCCUGGAACAGGGGAUUCGAAAAUCACAGGAGAACAUUCAAUCCUGAUCCAGCAGUACUGUAUUUGGACCACAGCCAUUGUUGUGGUGCAGCAGUGCCAUUUUUAUUUGGUUACAACUAGACGAUAAGGAAUCGUACCACCACGGUGAAUCAGAUGAGACAAUUCUCUGAACAUUUAAAGCCCGAUGAUAUCCUAAGAUCGAUCCCUGUAAUUGAUGAGGAAGCUGAAAUGAGUGUUUUUCAUUUUUGGGUUCAAUAGUUGGAUUAAUUUGAUUGUUCCGUAACAAAAAUGUUUUUGAGAAAUGAUUUCCAUAUACUCUUGUUUAUUUAGAGCAAGUCCACCGGACACUUCAUUGCCCAACACCCUGUCCAAAAAUCAGCUCAGCACCCUGUCAAUCUGCUCUAGCCCGCAAAACAGCUUGGCACCCAGCCCAAGCCAGGCAGUAGACCAACCCAUUCCGGACAGACCCAGAGGCCAACCUAUUUGGUUGGUGUGUGCAGCACACUCGCGACUAGGCGUGAGUAGGAGAUAAGGGUGCAGGCGGCAGGGCCCGCUUGUCAGCCCACUUGUGUUCACCCGGUUUAGAGCUACGUGGCCCUCCUCAGUGCCGUUGGAUUUCCAACGGUAAACAAAAUUUAAAUUUGACUUUUAAAAUGGACCGUCUGAUCACAGAUCAACGGUCCACGUUUUUUCAUAAAAAAUAAAAAUAAAAAUAAUUAAAAAAGGCCCAACGGUCAGAAAUAUGACUAUUGGCCACGUGGCAACUCCUUGGCUCUUGGAUUUGAAUAUUUUUCAAAUCCAACGGUCCAGAUUCAUUAACUAUAUUAAAAUUUAUUAAAAAUUAUGAAAAAAUACAGAAAUUUAAAAAAAAAAAAUUCUAUAAAUACCUAACCCUUAUCUUCCACCUUACACCACAUUUCAAUAUUUUCUACACUUUCUAUACUAUCUACAUUUCAAUAUUUUCUACACUUUAAGAGAAAAAAAUGUCUUCAUGGAAGCUCAUUGAAGAUGUUAUGUUGUAUGAAUGUUGGGUUCACACUACUCAUGACCCGAUUACGGGUAAUGAGAUGGAUAAGCAAGAAAUGUGGAGUAAAAUUACGAAAGUGUUUGCGAUGUACAUGGAAAAGACGCCAGAACUAGUCAAGGUCUUCAAGGUCGUUGGAAAAAACUCAACACAUGCUUUACUUGUUGGAAAAAUGCCAUCUCUCAUGCUUCCAGUAACUUGCGUAGUGGGACAAGUUUAGCGGAUCAGGUGAUAAUAUUUUUAUUUAUUUAUAUGCAUUCCACCCACAUCAAUAAUUUAUUUAAUUUCGUAUGUAAUUUUUAUGUUAUUUCUUAUGUAAUUUUUAUAUGCAUUCCACCUGCAUCAAAUUUUUAAUUUUUUAUUCCAAAUUAAAACUAUUUUAUUUGAGACACAUUGGUUAAAAAUCCUAUCCGAAAUUAAAACUAUUUUUAUUUUUUUAUUCUUUUAGAAAAAAUUUAAAAAUAUUUUAAAUGGGUUGGGUGCCAGCGCAUUUUUUCACUGGGUGCCAGCGCAUUUUUUUAGGGAUGGAGAUGCAUUGGCCUAUUACUGUUCAUUGGAGUCAAUUACUGUUCACUGGAGUGGAUAAAUAGGUUGGGUGCUGGCACAAAGUCCUUAGAGGUGGACUUGCUCUUAUGUCUCUGACCCUCUUUUGAUUUAGAUAAUGCAAAACUACAAAUAAACAUGAGUGCAUGGAAGAAAAAAAAGAGUGCGGAAAUCCUGCUCUGGUUUUACUCUUUAGCAGUAUUGACUAGUUAAUUUGUUUGCAAGUCAUUCGUAGAAGAACAAUACUUGGCUGCUGAAAAUUCAGCAGCCAUUCCUGCUUUCACCAAAUCAGAUUUGGACACAUGUCCAAUUUGUGCUUACAAUUUUAAUUAUUUAGACACGUGUCCAAAUUUAAUUAGAUAAAAACAUAAAUGGCUGCUGAAUUUUCAGCAGCUAAGUAUUGUUCUUCGUAGAAUAUAUAGAUGAUGAACUUAAACCCAAUAUGUAAUAGUAAGUUGAUACCAAGGGAAAGUUAAAAGUUUGAUGGUUCAUGCAGUUUCAUUUUAUCGCUACCUGCAAAAUGCAACAGGUACUGGAGCCCCAAGUAGUACUACAAAUUGCAAGUGUCUUGGUUGGAAAUUUAUUGCAUUACAUGGAAAAGUCAAUUCUAAAUGCAUGCAAACCUGCGGACCAGAGAAAAUUUUCAUUCUGACUAGAACACGAGUGAUACACUACUUGUUUUUAUGUAAGUGGUAGAAAAUUUUAAUAUUUAAGUUAUUAACCUUUUAAUACACAUAUAUCACUAUUUGUAUAGUGACACGUGAUGUAGCACUCCGUGUUCCGAUCGUCACACUGAAAAAUCUGUAUGUGGACGGCAUGUGGUGACUUAUAUCUUCUUCUUUUUUUUUUAACAAAAAGUUAGGGGGAGAUUGGCUUAUUUUCACUACCAAUGGCAAGGUAUACCUACAACCUCAAGUUAGAAGAACUUAUGUCUGGCAUCUAACUGCCAACUGCCACAUGUAUAGAUUUACAUAAGAAUUUACAGAUAAUGCACCAACGAAAGCAUCUAACUACAUGGAUCAAAAUUGGAUUGAAGAUUAACCACAAACACGCCUUUAUCAACUGAACCAACUUAACUAAGAACUUAUAUCUUCAAUGAUAAAAAGAGCACUUACUUUCGCAUCUAUAGCAAAAAUUCACCUCUCGCAUUACCUUUUUCUUAUAAUUCUCUUUUUUUUAUUUUUUAUUUUUGAAACAAAACACGAAAGCAAAAGAAAACCUGAACAUAUGAGUACAAGCUGAGAUUUUUGUUUUGUGGUCAAGUUUGGUGCCAAAUGAGUUGCAGAGUAGCAUGUGUUUGGGAAAUGAUCAAUUAACAUUGCUUGCUCAACCUCAUGAAACACGUAUUUGUUUAGAAUUAUCGCUUUGUGGAACUAGAAUAGUGGGCUAUCAGAAACCGGGGGAGUCGAUUAACAUAGACUGAUGUUUGAGACCUGGCCUCUCAUGGGCUAAAGCAGCAAAACAGGAAAAUCAGGUGUAUAAACAAAAUGGGCCAUUUCAGGAAUAUGGCUUCUCAAGACCUAAAUGAAACUUGGAUUCUCAAGACCUAAUUGAAAUUUGGAUUCUUGAACUAAAAAUUCAUGCCUAUGUCGUCGAAUGUGUUACAAAUAUGAAAUAAUGGUCUUUUUGAGUAACAUCAUUACAACUUACAUCCAAACUAAAGGACAUUAAAAGGCAAAUAAGGGGGAAGAAGUUCUAAGACCAUCUCUAACUCUUGGCCUAAAACCUAAAGUUUUUAGCCCAAAAAAUUUAGUUUUUAACCCAGAAACAGUUUUUCUGCUCCAAUCCUUCUGGCUUAAAAUUUUAGCCCCAGAUUAUUAAAAAAUGAAUUCAUGCUAAUUUUUUUUAUAAAUUAACUUUGUAAAAAAAAAUAUUAUGUAGACUAUAUCCUAAAUUAAUUUUAUGAAUUUUUAACCUAAAAAUAUUUAAAUUCUGAUAAACAUUGAAAAAUUAUUAAACCGACAUAUGAAACUCAUGAAACACUAUAGAAGAAUAUGAAACACAUGAUAGAGAUGUAUAAACACAAGACACAUGAGCAAACACAUGGUUUGGGAAGAUGGUAGAAAGAAAAAUUGGAAGAAUUGUAGGAGAAAAGUGAGUUUUGUGUGGAUGUUUCAACAAAUAUAUUGGUAUUUAUAGAGUUUUUGGAUGAAUUUUGAGUUAAAUAAUUUUUUAUAAUUAUUUUAAUCGUUGGAUUCAAUAAAUUUAUAAAUAUAAAACAAAAAUACUAACUAAAUUAAAUGUGGACCGUUGGAUAACCAACAACCCAUUUGAAUAUGAGUCGUUGAUCAACCAAAAGAGCCGUUGGGCUCAAUGUUAUUGGCAGACAAGUGGAAGAUACACCCAUGUGGGUGGGCUCCACCACUAAUCUUGGCCUAAAUCUGGCUUAUUUUUUUUAAGUUUUAGGUUUUAGAUCCAAAGUAGAACUUGGGUUGGAAUGGAUUGGGAUUAUAGGUUUUAGGCCGUGGGUUGGAGUUGGCCUAAGGGUGUUAUUUCAAAAAACUAUUGCUCUACAUUGUGAUAAGUUCAAGGAACUCUCACGAAUUCUUUAGUUCAUGAGCCAAAUUUUACGAAUCAAUUGAUAUCGUUCACAAAUUUUACGAAUAGAACCCUCGAUAGUUCUUUGUUUCGAACUAUACCAGUUUUCAAGAGUGAAGCUAUCAACUGUUCAACCAUAUCUCCGAAAAAUAAUUCUUCCCUCUAAGACCAACUCCAAUGGUGGGCUAAAAGUCAAAUUACCCCCCAAACCCACUCCAACCCAAAGGGAAAUUUUGGGCUAAAUGCUAAAUGCUAAACCAAAGUCAGAUUCCCCCCAAAAUUUAGCCCAGAAAUCGGAAGUUAAAAUUUUCAAUAUUUAUCGGAAUUUAAAUUAUUUUUAGAUUAAAAUGUUCAUAAAAUUAAUUUACGAUAAUCUACAUUUAAAAAAAAUUAAUUUAACAUAAAAAAAGCCUAAAUUCAUUAUUUAAUAAUCACAGGCUAAAUUUUAGGCUAGAACGGUUAGAGCAGAAAAACUAUUUCUAGGCUAAAAGUUAAAAUUUUCGGGCUAAAAUAUUUGACUUUUAGCCCAACCAUUGAAGAUUGUCUAAAAAUGAAGUGUAGAAUAAGCGGUUUGAUCAUACAAUGUACCAAUUGGUUUAAUAUCACCGACCUUGAAAUUUAUAAAUAAUCUAGAGCCCUUGAUAAUAUUAAACUUGGUACAUUAUACAUGAUCACAUGAGGCAACAAGUCCAACUAACUCUUAUCUUUCAACAAUUUCCAAAUGAAACAAUCAACCCACAUCACAUCACCAAUACAAAAGCAGUUUCUUACAUCACAUAAAGCAGUUCACUUCCAGGAAUUUCUCAAAAGUCCUCCAGUAUUUCACUCUUUUGACUUCACACAUAAAUAUGUCAUGUUAGCCUUCAGAAAAUGAGAAAAUAUUCCAAGCCUUCUUCUGUUCUUCCACAUACUAUGGAACACACCGCUAAUUUUACAUACAAACAUUACUCCCACUGGUUACGGUAUUUCUGUAGUCUUUACGUCUACUGUGAGGUCAAUGAGCUAUCUUACUGGGCGGAACUACCUUGUCCUUCCACGUAUGGUCUAACGAAAGUUCUCCUCCACCACACUUCGAACGCCCUCUGAAGAUUCGGGCAGCUGUCACCAGCCUUGAGAAAGCUUCCCAACCAAGAAAGCAUAAUACUUUGCUGGUCCUCUAGAGGCAGAGUGAGGAUUGUCCUACCAAUUCCUUCUUCCACAACCUUCCUGUCAAAUGACCGGCACCCAUGUUGCAGCCAGUUGUAGUCAUCGAUCAAUGGCUGCAGCCAGGUUUGUAACAACAGCUGACGGGUAUCCUUAGAUGGCAGCAGCUCCCCUCUACCAAUGCCAACAAACAGCCUUGCUGUGAUACAGCUAACAUGGUAACGAGACACGAUAGGCAGCUUCGUAUGUAAGGCUGCCAAUUCUUGCUGGCUAGCCCACAGUACUGCAAAUUCGUCUGCGGCUUGCUUGUCAGCCAAAAUCUCAAGCAACCAUGAGAGGUUAUCAGCUGCCAAAGCUAAUUGCUUCACCACAGGUUCUUUGUUGUCGACAGGCUUAUCAGAAGACUCUGGCUCUGCAGCGUGCUUGAAUAGGGACAACAGCAACUUCAAACAGCUUCUGCACGAGUUAUACAGUGUUUCAUUGCAGACGUUAGCAGAACCUUGAGAGCUUGAGGCACUGUUGUUCUCCUUGAGGAGCUUGAGCACUACGGAUUUCAUUUCACGCCUGCCUCUCUCCUCAUUGCUUGCAAGAACAAGUCCAAUUAUGUGGGAAAGUGUGUCCUUUUGGGGUUUAGAAACGUCGGACGAGACUCGUUUCAGUACAGGAGUGACCCCAAUACCCUCACUUUGGAGUCGCAAGACCGACGAGACAACUUUUUCUUCUUCCUCAUCCCCAACCCACGGGACUGCUUCCAAGUACUCUAAACAUGACUGCAUGCACGAGUUGAAGCCAAGUAGUUCUGCAAUCUGAAAGAAGGUGCCAUUAAAGGUUAGGUUUCAGCGUAUUUCAGAUUAAAUUAUGACAUAUAGAUGGUAUAUAGGGAGGCAAGAUGAAAAAUGAAAAUACAGGUAAGCUGACGAGAGAUAUACAAAACCUACUGAAUGACGGUAUAUGAUAAUCUAAACGACUCUACUUCUUUGCAUUACAAGAGUUCAUUUACCGACUUUUCAAACCAUCUUAACAACAAUCAAAUCUGAUGUAAAAAAUAAACCCUAUUAGUAUCAGCGGCCAUUGGCUAAAUGAACUUAAUGAACGCUCCAAAACAUGAAGCAAUUUAAUCCCUAUCAAUGAACUUAACCAAGCCAAACUUUUUAGCUAAUCACAUAUGAUUAAGAAGGGCCAUUCAGAUAAAACAAUCAAUCUGCAUCUCAAAAUGGAUAUAGGGUGCUGAAAUGGAACAUGCCAAAAUCCUAAGCUAAGAAAAUAUCACACGAUAGUCACCAACAACAUUUUAAAUUCGAUAUAACCAAACAGUUUGCAAAGGUCACUUACAAAAUCUACCUAAUCACGACUGUGCAGGGAUAAAGCACCUUUUUCUCUCUAAACAUGUUUAAAAAACAAUUUUCAUGCAUGGAAAAUUAUGUGAGGAUAGAUAUUACUAAAGUUAACUACAAAAGCAGCCUGAUG